Molecule: ribosomal RNA, 282 nt
Filed under: Triticum aestivum (bread wheat)
Lineage: Eukaryota; Viridiplantae; Streptophyta; Magnoliopsida; Poales; Poaceae
Description: partial small subunit ribosomal RNA
Source: RNAcentral
AUGGUUUAUCAUCAAGAGGGAAGUUUUGUAAUAGCAACAGGAAGAAUUGCUCAGGUAACCGUGAGUGUAUAUAACUUGGGUCAUGUUAUAAAUGCUCUGGCUAAACCUAUUGACAGGAGAGGCGAAAUUGUAGCUUCCGAAUCUCUCUUAAUUGAAUCUCCUGCUCCAAGUAGAAUUUCCAGGCGUUCCACAUACGAACCUCUUCAAACAGGGCUUAUUGCUAUCGAUUCGAUUAUCCCUAUAGGGCGCGAUCAGCGGGAGUUCAUUAUUGGGGACAGAUAG